GACGAACGCUGGCGGCGUGCUUAACACAUGCAAGUCGAACGGAAAGGCGCUGCUUUUGUGGGGUGCUCGAGUGGCGAGCGGGUGAGUAACACGAGAGUAACCUGACCUUGCCUUUGGGAUAACUUAAGGAAACUGGGGCUAAUACAGGACAGGAGCUCCUGCGGCUGGGGGGGGGUUGGAAAGUGUCGGCGGUUGGGUAUGGGCGGGCGGGUGAUGAGCUUGUUGGUGGGGUAGUGGCUUACAACGGCUUUGACGGGUGGCCGGCCUGAGCGGGUGACCGGCCACGUUGGGACUGCGAUACGGCCCAGACUCCUACGGGAGGCAGCAGUGGGGAAUAUUGCACUAUGGGCGGAAGCCUGAUGCGGCAGCGCCGCGUGCGGGAUGACGGCCUUCGGGUUGUAAACCGCUUUCGCCUGUGACGAAGCGUGAGUGACGGUAAUGGGUAAAGAAGCACCGGCUAACUACGUG
RNAcentral lists this ribosomal RNA (468 nucleotides) under uncultured bacterium. RNAcentral's name for it is "partial 16S ribosomal RNA". It matches the Rfam family "Bacterial small subunit ribosomal RNA", at positions 28 to 507 of the family's 1533-position model. The record is from RNAcentral.